AUUGUACUCCCUCCGUUCGGAAUUACUUGUCGCGGAAAUGGAUGUAUCUAGACGUAUUUUAGUUCUAGAUACAUUCAUAUCCGAGGCAAAUAAUUUCGAACGGAGGGGGUACCAU
Non-coding RNA from Triticum urartu, 115 nucleotides. The record is from Rfam. Lineage: Eukaryota; Viridiplantae; Streptophyta; Magnoliopsida; Poales; Poaceae.